AGCCUGUGAGUUGCUGUAGAGCUCACAGCUACUUCCCUGCAUUCCCUACAGAAUAAGGAGUGAAUGGUUUUCGUCCUCAGAGCACUCAGAGUUCCUGAGAAUGAAGCAGAUCUCCACCUUAACAAGGAACAGUCUGGGUCCUGGACCAGACUUUCAGUGACUGGAACCUUACAUGUUUCUCUAGGACAUCUGAAGAGAUUCAUGAGAUAUAAUGAUGGAGUGGAUAAGACAAGUUUCUUUUAACUGAACCCUCCUCUCAAUCAAUUUGAAGACUUAUUGAGAAUCACACAGAAGAUUUGUUGCUGUGCACAGCUGAAGUUUGUGAAUCAAAGGGCAAGAAGAAUAAGAAAAUAACUAAGAGAACCUUAGCCACAAAGAAAAAUCUGAAGACAAUCAAAAGA
Strigops habroptila (Kakapo) is the source of this 401-nucleotide long non-coding RNA. RefSeq lists it as uncharacterized. The transcript has 4 exons. NCBI's taxonomy places the organism in Eukaryota, Metazoa, Chordata, Aves, Psittaciformes, Psittacidae. The record is from RefSeq and is a predicted model, not a curated record.